GACGAACGCUGGCGGCGUGCCUAAUACAUGCAAGUCGAGCGAACAGAUAAGGAGCUUGCUCCUUCGACGUUAGCGGCGGACGGGUGAGUAACACGUGGGUAACCUACCUACAAGACUGGGAUAAUUUCGGGAAACAGGAGCUAAUACCGGAUAAUAUUUCGAACCGCAUGGUUCGAUAGUGAAAGAUGGUUUUGCUAUCACUUAUAGAUGGACCCGCGCCGUAUUAGCUAGUUGGUAAGGUAACGGCUUACCAAGGCGACGAUGCGUAGCCGACCUGAGCGGGUGGUCGGCCACACUGGAACUGAGACACAGUCCAGACUCCUACGGGGAGCAGCGGUAGAGAAUCUUCCGCGAUGGGCGAGUGCCUGACGGAGCAACGCCGCGUGAAUGAUGAAGGUCUUCGGAUCGUAAAACUCUGUUAUUAGUGGAGAACAUACGUGUAAGUAGCUGUGCACAUCUUGACGGUACCUAAUCAGGAAGCCACGGCUAACUACGUG
This 497-nucleotide ribosomal RNA is filed under the name uncultured bacterium. Its description in RNAcentral is "partial 16S ribosomal RNA". It matches the Rfam family "Bacterial small subunit ribosomal RNA", at positions 28 to 507 of the family's 1533-position model. The record is from RNAcentral.